Physcomitrium patens is the source of this 1907-nucleotide long non-coding RNA. RefSeq lists it as uncharacterized. Lineage: Eukaryota; Viridiplantae; Streptophyta; Bryopsida; Funariales; Funariaceae. The record is from RefSeq and is a predicted model, not a curated record.
GAGUCAAUCUGUUCGCCUGCUCUUCAAUCCCAUAUCCUCCAAUGCUGUAGCAAUUGCUUGCGAUGGUGGUCGUCAUCAGAGCAUUAUCUCACGCAGUCCAUGUAUUGCUCAUUCUGCUUUUGUUGCUCCGGAGAGCAGCAUAACAAUGAGGUGGCUCAUUGUGUUUUACGGUUGCCCUAAUUUGAUCGCAGGACCUGAAAUGAAAUAAUUGUUGUUCCUAAACGCUCAUUAUCAUCAACUAUCCUUGUUAUUGCCGUGGGUGUAGAUAUGGCUCAUGACCAUCGCAUAAUAUAAGCUGCGGAUGUUAAAGCAGGUUGCUGUUAACCGUGCUUCAUUAGGUGCGAAAAGGCCCGGACGUGGUGGAGGACUAUAGUGCACUAUCUUUCAUGUUAUGCGUUGGAUCUGCUUAGCAAUGGCGCUCGCGUGGGUGCAUCGUUAAAGAUUGGACAAAACCACGAGUCUUGUCGAUCCAAGAGCGUUUUGACUCAUGAGAUGCGUCCUAAAUGUGGUGCAAUGUUGCCAACGCUAGGAUUGCCAAUUCAUUGAGCAAUUUUCUACAGCAGCCUGCCACAACUCCUCGUUCAGAAGGUUUGACCAGAAACAAGAGAAGCGCAUUUCAUACAUUCUUCCGAUUUCAUUAUUUCAAUUGGCCGAGAAAUGAAGGAAGACAUUGUUCAGGAGCAAGAUGUCAACACCAAAACUGUAAUAAAGCAUACUUGGAAGUGAAGUUAUGCAACUCGAGGGAGCUUUUAUUGAGAGAAAAUUACAGCAACUCUGAUGUGCCAGGGCUGGGAGCCACAGAGAGCUUGGAUAGUGUGAAGCACUAGAAAGUUUUUAUUCCAGAUGUGGUCAGCUUAAGUUGUGACACUCAUUGCUGCAUAAACUUAUCAAUUGCAGCAUGCGUCCUUGAUAACAGGUUGGUAAUUUUACUAACCUGAAGUGCACUCCAUUAAUAGCUGGCACACGGGAUUGAUUUCUAAACGUAUUGAUGAAUUCCACACAGAUUGCGGGCAGAAAUCCGCAUCCAAGACAAGUUAAGCUAUCUUCCAUUCAGCACAUCUCAAGAGAAGAUAAAGAAGAAUGCCACUACACAGUCCACAUCCUUACUAAAUGUUCUGAUAUGUGCCUUGGUAGUUACCGGUACUGAUGUCUGCCGGCAACUGUUGGAUGGGUGCCACCUCGAUGGUGGUGCUUUUCGCCUUGUACCUCAUCAUAUUAGGAUUCUUUGUUGGUAAUGUAGUCUGAGCUUUAUCGAUGUGACUCCUCACUCCCAUCCAUGACCCAGUGCGCCUAGGAUCAACAGGUGUAUGCACUCACACAUCUGUGAUUUGGGGUAUGUCUCCACCAGGCUUUGCAAUGACUGUAAGAUCCUUAUUGAAAGCAGACUUGAAAGCUGUCUUGGUGAUUUUGACAUUAGUAGCACAAUGGUGAAUCCCUCUGUUGCCCUGCAGAGCUCAUAAAUAUCUCAGGAUGAGAUCAAAGCUUCACCAACCCUUCAACCAUUAGUCAAAAGGUGACAGAAGCACUGACAUCACUCAGCCGCCUAGUUGACUUUGGUAAUGUGCAAUGUGUUUUGUUUCAGCUUGUUCACUAUAUUUCAAUUGUUGCUUUUGGUACGACAGAGAUUCACAUGCACUCUCAUAAUAGUAUAUGUGAAAACAAGUGUAGGAUGUUUUUGUUUGUCCAUCAUGGGGGAGAAGUUGAUGUCCCAUUGCUCCAUGACACAGUCUAUCUAAAAAAGCUCAACCUGUUUGGAAACACCCAGUGCUUUACUUCAUGAAUAGGGCACAUGAUGGGAAAGGAAGGCUCAUUAUUGAGCCAGUCCAUCCCCCCUCUUCCUGCUUAGUUACAGCCCUGGCAAUGUGUGCAGCUUUACAAAAUAAAUAAAAGCAACUCAUGACAUUUCA